UGAUAUAUAGUUUAAUAAAAACAUUAAUUUUGUAAAUUAAAAAUUUAAAUAACUUAAUAUAUCAA
Molecule: transfer RNA, 65 nt
Filed under: Bombus breviceps
Lineage: Eukaryota; Metazoa; Arthropoda; Insecta; Hymenoptera; Apidae
Description: tRNA-Thr
Source: RNAcentral